AACCCCUGUGAACAUACCUAUACGUUGCCUCGGCGGAUCAGCCCGCGCCCCGUAAAACGGGACGGCCCGCCCGAGGACCCCUAAACUCUGUUUUUAGUGGAACUUCUGAGUAAAACAAACAAAUAAAUCAAAACUUUCAACAACGGAUCUCUUGGUUCUGGCAUCGAUGAAGAACGCAGCAAAAUGCGAUAAGUAAUGUGAAUUGCAGAAUUCAGUGAAUCAUCGAAUCUUUGAACGCACAUUGCGCCCGCCAGUAUUCUGGCGGGCAUGCCUGUUCGAGCGUCAUUUCAACCCUCAAGCUCAGCUUGGUGUUGGGACUCGCGGUAACCCGCGUUCCCCAAAUCGAUUGGCGGUCACGUCGAGCUUCCAUAGCGUAGUAAUCAUACACCUCGUUACUGGUAAUCGUCGCGGCCACGCCGUUAAACCCCAACUUCUGAAUGUUGACCUCGGAUCAGGUAGGAAUACCCGCUGAACUUAAGCAUAUCAAUAGGCCGGAGGAA
Molecule: ribosomal RNA, 500 nt
Filed under: fungal sp. ZH C2-1-1
Lineage: Eukaryota; Fungi
Description: eukaryotic LSU rRNA
Rfam family: 5.8S ribosomal RNA (bases 132-285)
Source: RNAcentral